RNAcentral lists this ribosomal RNA (492 nucleotides) under uncultured bacterium. RNAcentral's name for it is "partial 16S ribosomal RNA". It matches the Rfam family "Bacterial small subunit ribosomal RNA", at positions 29 to 507 of the family's 1533-position model. The record is from RNAcentral.
AGUGAACGCUGGCGGUAGGCCUAACACAUGCAAGUCGAACGGCAGCACAGUAAGAGCUUGCUCUUACGGGUGGCGAGUGGCGGACGGGUGAGGAAUACAUCGGAAUCUACUUUUUCGUGGGGGAUAACGUAGGGAAACUUACGCUAAUACCGCAUACGACCUACGGGUGAAAGCAGGGGAUCUUCGCACCUUGCGCGAUUGUAUGAGCCGAUGUCGGAUUAGCUAGUUGGCGGGGUAAAGGCCCACCAAGGCGACGAUCCGUAGCUGGUCUGAGAGGAUGAUCGGCCACACUGGAACUGAGACACGGUCCAGACUCCUACGGGAGGCAGCAGUGGGGAAUAUUGGACAAUGGGCGCAAGCCUGAUCCAGCCAUACCGCGUGGGUGAAGAAGGCCUUCGGGUUGUAAAGCCCUUUUGUUGGGAAAGAAAAGCAGCAGGUUAAUACCCCGCUGUUCUGACGGUACCCAAAGAAUAAGCACCGGCUAACUUCGUG